Molecule: long non-coding RNA, 794 nt
Filed under: Nicotiana benthamiana
Lineage: Eukaryota; Viridiplantae; Streptophyta; Magnoliopsida; Solanales; Solanaceae
Description: long non-coding RNA (NBEN_LNC010250)
Source: RNAcentral
GUUGGAAUUGCUGCACGUCCUUUCCAAUCGUCAGCAACUCCACAAAUUUGAUCAGAAAUGCACCACAAUCAGUCCUAAAAUAAGAGAAAGAUAUGCAACGAAUUAAACAACAAAAUAUUAAGUUCGUAUAAAUACUACAACGAAUAACAAUACGUACGAUCCAGUUUGGUGUGGUGAUAUUUGCCAUUAUAUAUCAAACUUGUUGAAGACAUUCCCAAAAGACUUAUGAUGCUUGUCAAACUGUGCAAACCUUAGCAUGUGGGGGAUCAUGCGCGCAUACAUUUCCAUAUGAUUCAUUCCAGCUUCAUAUGGCUCACUGUAUAUGGAAUCAUAUACAUCAAUCUUUUUCAGAUUCAAGUCCAAAACUCCCAGCAGAAAAUGUGUCACAGCUUUGUCAUCUUCUGAAGGAAGGCGACAUGGGAAAAAGAUUUUAUCAACCUCAGUCCAAGCAAUCCCACAUCUGCGGUUGUCCCUCCACACAUAUGGUGUUAGAAAUAACAAGUCAUCACUAGAACACCAAAAAUCAUCACUAGCAUCUUCACUAAAAUCCUUAUACACACAGGCCAUGAAGUUAUCAAAAAGAAUGUCAGUAGUUGAGCAUUUAAAAGGAUGAUCGCGGGGGUGGUAGCAUUCCUUGUUUCUCAGAUAAUAUAGCGCAAUGUCAAUAUGCUUCAUAAAAAGGCAAACAAUAAACAAAUCCAUUAGUAAUACAAAAAUCCCACAUCUGCGGCUGUCCCCCCACACAUAUGAUGUUAGAAACAACGAGUCAUCAGUAGCACACCAAAAAUCAUCAC